Molecule: ribosomal RNA, 249 nt
Filed under: uncultured organism
Description: partial 16S ribosomal RNA
Rfam family: Bacterial small subunit ribosomal RNA
Source: RNAcentral
UCGAGGAUCUUCGGCAAUGGGCGAAAGCCUGACCGAGCGACGCCGCGUGUGGGAUGAAGGCCUUCGGGUUGUAAACCACUGUCAACGGGGAGGAAAUGCAGGAGAACACUCCCUCCCGCCUGACCUAUCUGAGGAGGAAGUACGGGCUAAGUCCGCGCCUGCAGCCGAGGCAAGAAGAACCGAACAUACGUUAUUCGGCAGCACUGGGCGUAGAGGGGGCGUAGCCUGCGCGGUCAGCUGGGUGUGAAG